Molecule: ribosomal RNA, 253 nt
Filed under: uncultured bacterium
Lineage: Bacteria
Description: partial 16S ribosomal RNA
Rfam family: Bacterial small subunit ribosomal RNA
Source: RNAcentral
UACAGAGGUCUCAAGCGUUGUUCGGAUUCAUUGGGCGUAAAGGGCGCGUAGGCGGUGGGGUAAGUCUGGUGUGAAAUCUCGGAGCUCAACUUCGAAAUUGCACUGGAUACUGCUCUGCUAGAGGGCUGGAGAGGAGAUCGGAAUUCACGGUGUAGCAGUGAAAUGCGUAGAUAUCGUGAGGAAGACCAGUGGCGAAGGCGGAUCUCUGGACAGCUCCUGACGCUGAGGCACGAAGGCCAGGGGAGCAAACGGG